Molecule: ribosomal RNA, 467 nt
Filed under: uncultured bacterium
Lineage: Bacteria
Description: partial 16S ribosomal RNA
Rfam family: Bacterial small subunit ribosomal RNA
Source: RNAcentral
ACGAACGCUGGCGGCGUGCUUAACACAUGCAAGUCGAACGGAAAGGCCCUGCUUUUGUGGGGUGCUCGAGUGGCGAACGGGUGAGUAACACGUGAGUAACCUGCCCUUGACUUUGGGAUCACUUCAGGAAACUGGGGCUUAUACCGGAUAGGAGCUCCUGCUGCAUGGUGGGGGUUGGAAAGUUUCGGCGGUUGGGGAUGGACUCUCGGCUUAUCUGCUUGUUGGUGGGGUAGUGGCUUACCAAGGCUUUGCCGGGUAGCCGGCCUGGGAGGGUGACCGGCCACAUGGGGACUGAGAUACGGCCCAGACGGCAACGGGAGGCAGCAGUGGGGAAUAUUGCACAAUGGGCGGAAGCCUGAUGCAGCAACGCCGCGUGCGGGAUGACGGCCUUCGGGUUGUAAACCGCUUUCGCCUGUGACGAAGCGUGAGUGACGGUAAUGGGUAAAGAAGCACCGGCUAACUACGUG